Molecule: ribosomal RNA, 423 nt
Filed under: uncultured bacterium
Lineage: Bacteria
Description: bacterial SSU rRNA
Rfam family: Bacterial small subunit ribosomal RNA
Source: RNAcentral
UGGGGAAUAUUGGACAAUGGGCGAAAGCCUGAUCCAGCAAUGCCGCGUGAGUGAUGAAGGCCUUCGGGUUGUAAAGCUCUGUCGGGAGGGACGAAAAAGCAGCCUAACAAACUGCGUUGACGGUACCUCCAAAGGAAGCACCGGCUAACUCUGUGCCAGCAGCCGCGGUAAUACAGAGGGUGCAAGCGUUGUUCGGAAUUACUGGGCGUAAAGCGCGUGUAGGUGGCUACGUAAGUCGGAUGUGAAAGCCCUUGGCUUAACCAAGGAAGUGCAUUCGAUACUGCGCAGCUUGAGUACUGGAGGGGAUGGCGGAAUUCCCGGUGUAGAGGUGAAAUUCGUAGAUAUCGGGAGGAACACCUGUGGCGAAGGCGGCCAUCUGGACAGUCACUGACACUGAGACGCGAAAGCGUGGGUAGCAAACAG